Molecule: ribosomal RNA, 749 nt
Filed under: Gordonia sp. (in: high G+C Gram-positive bacteria)
Lineage: Bacteria; Bacillati; Actinomycetota; Actinomycetes; Mycobacteriales; Gordoniaceae
Description: bacterial SSU rRNA
Rfam family: Bacterial small subunit ribosomal RNA
Source: RNAcentral
CGGAAAGGCCCAGCUUGCUGGGUACUCGAGUGGCGAACGGGUGAGUAACACGUGGGUGAUCUGCCCUGCACUCUGGGAUAAGCCUGGGAAACUGGGUCUAAUACCGGAUAUGACCAACUGUCGCAUGGUGGUUGGUGGAAAGCUUUUGCGGUGUGGGAUGGGCCCGCGGCCUAUCAGCUUGUUGGUGGGGUAAUGGCCUACCAAGGCGACGACGGGUAGCCGACCUGAGAGGGUGAUCGGCCACACUGGGACUGAGACACGGCCCAGACUCCUACGGGAGGCAGCAGUGGGGAAUAUUGCACAAUGGGCGCAAGCCUGAUGCAGCGACGCCGCGUGAGGGAUGACGGCCUUCGGGUUGUAAACCUCUUUCACCAGGGACGAAGCGGAAGUGACGGUACCUGGAGAAGAAGCACCGGCCAACUACGUGCCAGCAGCCGCGGUAAUACGUAGGGUGCGAGCGUUGUCCGGAAUUACUGGGCGUAAAGAGCUCGUAGGCGGUUUGUCGCGUCGUCUGUGAAAUUCUGCAACUCAAUUGCAGGCGUGCAGGCGAUACGGGCAGACUUGAGUACUACAGGGGAGACUGGAAUUCCUGGUGUAGCGGUGAAAUGCGCAGAUAUCAGGAGGAACACCGGUGGCGAAGGCGGGUCUCUGGGUAGUAACUGACGCUGAGGAGCGAAAGCGUGGGUAGCGAACAGGAUUAGAUACCCUGGUAGUCCACGCCGUAAACGGUGGGUACUAGGUGUGGGUUC